This 498-nucleotide ribosomal RNA is filed under the name uncultured bacterium. Its description in RNAcentral is "partial 16S ribosomal RNA". It matches the Rfam family "Bacterial small subunit ribosomal RNA", at positions 30 to 523 of the family's 1533-position model. The record is from RNAcentral.
AUUGAACGCUGGCGGCAUGCCUUACACAUGCAAGUCGAACGGUAACAGGUCUUCGGAUGCUGACGAGUGGCGAACGGGUGAGUAAUACAUCGGAACGUGCCUAGUAGUGGGGGAUAACUACUCGAAAGAGUGGCUAAUACCGCAUGAGAUCUACGGAUGAAAGCAGGGGAUCGCAAGACCUUGCGCUACUAGAGCGGCCGAUGGCAGAUUAGGUAGUUGGUGGGAUAAAAGCUUACCAAGCCGACGAUCUGUAGCUGGUCUGAGAGGACGAUCAGCCACACUGGGACUGAGACACGGCCCAGACUCCGACGGGAGGCAGCAGUGGGGAAUUUUGGACAAUGGGCGAAAGCCUGAUCCAGCAAUGCCGCGUGCAGGAUGAAGGCCUUCGGGUUGUAAACUGCUUUUGUACGGAACGAAAAGCCCCGGGUUAAUUCCCUGGGGUCAUGACGGUACCGUAAGAAUAAGCACCGGCUAACUACGUGCCAGCCGCCGCCGUAA